This 962-nucleotide long non-coding RNA is filed under the name Marmota monax (woodchuck). Lineage: Eukaryota; Metazoa; Chordata; Mammalia; Rodentia; Sciuridae. The record is from RNAcentral.
UGAACAAAUCUAGAUGGGACUCACUUCUUUCCCUACUCUGGAACUCAGCCAUCCCUGCACUAAAUUUUCUUAAGGUGAGAAAGUGAAAGAUGAAAACAGUAAUCUAAAUGACCAUAUAUUCUCCCCAUAACACUAUAUUGUACUCAGCUUUCUCUUAUUUUUUUUUAUCCUUUUGAUUUCUCUGUGCAGAAAAAGGGAAAUUCACUGAAUACUGUAAAAAUUUCCUUUGAAAGAUUUUUAAUCUAGUUCUUCUUCAUAUUCAGUGCAAUAUCACCCUCUUACAGUAUUAUAUACCUUAUAAUUUAUUUAUUUAUUUAUUUAUUUAUUUAUUUAUUUAUGUGUGUGUGUGUGUGUGUGUGUUGCUGGGGAUCAAUCUCAGGACUUAGUACAUGCCUGAUGGUCAGGCUAUCACUGAACUACAUUUCCAACCCCUGCUUAGGAUAGUUUUAUUCAAUAACAAAAAGCCCUACAGGAGCUUGGGCAUGUCUUUGUUCUGAUUUCUACAUUCCGUGGGGGAGGGGAAUAAAGCUCUCUUUUUAAAUAUUAAGCAGAUUAGACAUUAAUUUUAUUAAAUCAACCAUUAGUUAUUAAUCAAACAAAAAUAAAAAUAAAAUAUGUAGCUAUCCAAAGACAACAUUUUCUUUAGAUUUUCCCCAAAUGUGUCUUUUCUUGCUUUACUCCCAAAUACUUUCAUUUUUAUUGUCUUCCUUUUAUUGGUUUUACAAUGUCAGUAUCAAGAUGAUCUUGUUUGAUGGCUUACAAACACCACUUAUAAGAUUCCAAACAAAUAAAAAUUGAAUUUUAAUAAAACAAAUUUGUUUAUUGAGAUAUGUAUGAGAGAGACCUAGUAUUUCAUGCUUGUUGAGUAAAUUAGGCUUUGAAAUAUAUUUGAAUUUGUGGAGUGAGGGUGAAGAAUCACACACACACACACAACAUACACAUACACACACAUACCAAACAAC